GAAGCGGGAAAAGCUCAAAUUUGAAAUCUGGCGGUCUUUGAUCGUCCGAGUUGUAAUCUAGAGAAGUUGUUACCUGUGCAGGACCAUGUACAAGUCUCCUGGAAUGGGGCAUCAUAGAGGGUGAGAAUCCCGUCUUUGACAUGGACUACCUGCAUGUUGUGGUGCGCUCUCAAAGAGUCGAGUUGUUUGGGAAUGCAGCUCAAAAUGGGUGGUAAAUGCCAUCUAAAGCUAAAUAUUGGCGAGAGACCGAUAGCGAACAAGUACCGUGAGGGAAAGAUGAAAAGCACUUUGGAAAGAGAGUUAAACAGUACGUGAAAUUGCUGAAAGGGAAACGCUUGAAGUCAGUCACAUUGGCCAGAAAUCAGCCUUGCUUUUGUGAGGUGUACUUUCUGUUUGAUGGGUCAGCAUCAAUUUCGAUCGCUGGAUAAAGUCUCUGGGAAUGUGGCAUCUUCGGAUGUGUUAUAGCCCAUUGUCACAUGCAGCGGUUGGGAUUGAGGAACUCAGCACGCCGAAAGGCCGGGUUUCGACCCAUGUCCGUGCUUAGGAUGCUGGCAUAAUGGCUUUAAUCGACCCGUCUUGAAACACGGACCAAGGAGUCUAACAUGCCUGCGAGUGUUUGGGUGGAAAACCCAUGCGCGCAAUGAAAGUGAAAGUUGAGAUCCCUCUAGUAGGGGAGCAUCGACGCCCGGACCAGACCUUUU
This 701-nucleotide ribosomal RNA is filed under the name Inocybe grammata. RNAcentral describes it as "partial large subunit ribosomal RNA". It matches the Rfam family "Eukaryotic large subunit ribosomal RNA", at positions 95 to 780 of the family's 3401-position model. The record is from RNAcentral. Lineage: Eukaryota; Fungi; Basidiomycota; Agaricomycetes; Agaricales; Inocybaceae.